RNAcentral lists this long non-coding RNA (720 nucleotides) under Malus domestica (apple). Its description in RNAcentral is "long non-coding RNA (MDOM_LNC005008)". Lineage: Eukaryota; Viridiplantae; Streptophyta; Magnoliopsida; Rosales; Rosaceae. The record is from RNAcentral.
UCCCAUUUUGAUUGACUCGUUUUAAAAACCAAAGCAUCAAUUCUCAUAUUGGGUUAGGUGGCAUGAAAAUUGGCCCAAGUCGCUUCAAUUGCCAAAACUGCAAUGAGUGAAAAACACAUCCGAGAUUUUUCUAUUUUGAAAUUCAAAAUUAAUAACUUAAUCAUUUCUUUCUCUUAUGUGUUGCCCAUAAAAACCCUCAGAAAUUUCUUCAUCUCAUUCACACUUUCAAAACCCUCUAGAAACUCUGCAACUUCAAUUUCCUAGAAUUCUCAAGCUUCCUCUAUUUUCUUACCAACCGCUUUAACUUCUCCAACUCGAAACCCCAUCUUUUCAAAUGGCCAGCACUCAAACACCUCUAAGCUUCUGUGAACAGCUCACUUCAAAACAUUAAAAGCUUCCUUGACUGCCUUAUCAUCAAGCUCUUCAAAUAUCCUGAUAAGCCAUAAGCCAAGUCUUAGGUUUUUGGUCAUUUGAUCAAGAACUAUCUUAGACUCGGUCAUUUCACUGGUGAAGGAAAAUCUACUCACAUCACUUUUCAAAGUUGGGAGUCGCCAAACCCCAGACCGUUUGGCCCUCAGCCUCUACUAUUUGGGCUUCAUGGGUCAGCUGAAUGGUGCUCCACUUUAGCAAUGCGUGACAUCUGGGCAUUUUCGACACCAUCAAGAUCUUCAUAGUAGAUAUGAACAUGGAUCGAGAACUUUUAGUGGCGACCCUUAAUUU